UGACCAGCCAUGCCGCGUGCAGGAAGACUCCCCUCUGGGUUGUAAACUGCUUUUAUCCGGGAAUAAACCUCAUUACGUGUAUUGAGCUGAAUGUACCGGAAGAAUAAGGAUCGGCUAACUCCGUGCCAGCAGCCGCGGUAAUACGGAGGAUCCAAGCGUUAUCCGGAUUUAUUGGGUUUAAAGGGUGCGUAGGCGGCCUGUUAAGUCAGGGGUGAAAGACGGUAGCUCAACUAUCGCAGUGCCCUUGAUACUGAUGGGCUUGAAUGGACUAGAGGUAGGCGGAAUGAGACAAGUAGCGGUGAAAUGCAUAGAUAUGUCUCAGAACACCGAUUGCGAAGGCAGCUUACUAUGGUCUUAUUGACGCUGAGGCACGAAAGCGUGGGGAUCAAACAGGAUUAGAUACCCUGGUAGUCCACGCCCUAAACGAUGAACACUCGCUGUUGGCGAUACACAGUCAGCGGCUAAGCGAAAGCGUUAAGUGUUCCACCUGGGGAGUACGCCCGCAAGGGUGAAACUCAAAGGAAUUGACGGGGGCCCGCACAAGCGGAGGAGCAUGUGGUUUAAUUCGAUGAUACGCGAGGAACCUUACCCGGGCUUGAAAGUUAGUGAAUGAUCCAGAGAUGGAUCAGUGA
This 632-nucleotide ribosomal RNA is filed under the name Pedobacter sp. Ri3Pt_4436. RNAcentral describes it as "bacterial SSU rRNA". It matches the Rfam family "Bacterial small subunit ribosomal RNA", at positions 384 to 1017 of the family's 1533-position model. The record is from RNAcentral. Lineage: Bacteria; Pseudomonadati; Bacteroidota; Sphingobacteriia; Sphingobacteriales; Sphingobacteriaceae.